GGGGCUUUCUAGACUAGCCAUGCAUGCCUCCGACUAGAAGAGCAAUUCUCUCCGAAUCUGCGAACGGCUCCGCAAACCAGUUGUAAACCAUAGCGAGCAUGCCCUUGGUCCGGUCGAAAGGCUGGGUCUUGGGCAAUAAGGAUAACCCUGGUAAUUCUGAGGCUAAUACAUGAACGCAAAACCUGGCUGACCGGGUAACUGGAAGGCUGGGGGACGUGUGACUGAGUCGCAAUUUUGCUGGGAGUAGACGCACGUUCAGACCACCAUACCAAACAGUCUUGUCGGGGUUCGCCCUGGCUCGUCUGGGUGGCUCUCGCUUUGUGCUUCUGACCUAUCAACUAGAUGGCAGCGUAAGGGACAUGCUAUGGUGACAACGGGUACAGAGGAUAAGGGUUCGAUCCUGGAGAGUGGGCCUGAGAGAUUGCUCACACUUCUAAGGAAGGCAGCAGGCGCGUAACGUUCCCCUUGGGCAAUGCUCGAGGGCGUUAGGGGACAUAUGAAUGCCUGCCUUUUGGUGGGCAAUUCAAAUGGGUCUGUUCUAAACAGCCUCUCGAGUAACAAUUAGAGGACAAGUCUGGUGCCAGCACCCGCGGUAAUUCCAGCUCUAAUAGCAUACGUUAAAGUUGUUGCGGUUAAAACGCUCGUAGUCGGCUUAAGAUCUUCAGAUUCUUGCGCUGGGAGCCGGGUCCGUUGCCCUCGUAAAGGGCACGCCGGGGACUGGCAAUGGAGGACGUUGGUCGAACGCAUUUCAGGCUGCCUCUUCGGAGUCGCAGGGCUGGGGGUUCGCCCCCGGUCCGGCCUGGAUGCCAUUUACCAUGAUUAAACCGGAGUGAUCAAAGCAUGUCUUUCGACACGUACGGCGCAGCAUGGUAUACUCUCACUGGCCGGGCCCUAUUGCGGGGGCCCGGUUGGUAGAAGCGAAAGGGAUGUUCGAGGGUGACCGAAUUGCUGGGCGAGUGGUGAAAUACGUUGACCCUAGCAAGUCGACCAAAGGCGAAAGCAGUCAUCAAGGGCAUACCCGUUGAUCAAGAGCGAAAGUUAAGGGUUCGAAGACGAUCAGAUACCGUCGUAGUCUUAACUAUAAAUGAUGCAAACCAGAGAUAGGACCCUGUCCAUCUCGACUCCUUCUGGAUCCUGGAGAAAUUAGAGUCUUUGGUCUGGGGAGUAGGCACGG
This 1174-nucleotide ribosomal RNA is filed under the name Physarum pusillum. Its description in RNAcentral is "bacterial SSU rRNA". It matches the Rfam family "Eukaryotic small subunit ribosomal RNA", at positions 27 to 1132 of the family's 1831-position model. The record is from RNAcentral. Lineage: Eukaryota; Evosea; Eumycetozoa; Physariida; Physaraceae.